This 663-nucleotide ribosomal RNA is filed under the name uncultured Bacteroidota bacterium. RNAcentral's name for it is "bacterial SSU rRNA". It matches the Rfam family "Bacterial small subunit ribosomal RNA", at positions 46 to 703 of the family's 1533-position model. Lineage: Bacteria; Pseudomonadati; Bacteroidota. The record is from RNAcentral.
GCUUAACACAUGCAAGUCGAGGGGUCUCGCGGGAGCUUGCUCCCAAGAGACGACCGGCGCACGGGUGAGUAACGCGUAUCCAACCUGCCCUUCAUAUUGGGAUAGCCUUCCGAAAGGGAGAUUAAUACCUGAUGGUGUUCAAAUUCCGCAUGUUAUUUGAACUAAAGAUUUAUCGGUAACGGAUGGGGAUGCGUGACAUUAGGUAGAUGGCGGGGUAACGGCCCACCAUGCCUACGAUGUCUAGGGGUUCUGAGAGGAAGGUCCCCCACACUGGAACUGAGACACGGUCCAGACUCCUACGGGAGGCAGCAGUGAGGAAUAUUGGUCAAUGGUCGGAAGACUGAACCAGCCAAGUAGCGCGAAGGAUGAAGGUUCUAUGGAUUGUAAACUUCUUUUAUACGGGAAUAAAACCACCUACGUGUAGGUGCUUGUAUGUACCGUAUGAAUAAGCAUCGGCUAACUCCGUGCCAGCAGCCGCGGUAAUACGGAGGAUGCGAGCGUUAUCCGGAUUUAUUGGGUUUAAAGGGAGCGUAGACGGGAGAUUAAGUCAGUUGUGAAAGGCUGCGGCUCAACCGCAGCACUGCAGUUGAUAUUGGUUUCCUUGAGUGCGGUUGAGGUAUGUGGAAUUCGUGGUGUAGCGGUGAAAUGCUUAGAUAUCACGAA